Molecule: ribosomal RNA, 253 nt
Filed under: uncultured bacterium
Lineage: Bacteria
Description: partial 16S ribosomal RNA
Rfam family: Bacterial small subunit ribosomal RNA
Source: RNAcentral
UACGGAGGUGUCAAACGUUGUCCGGAAUUACUGGGCGUAAAGGGCGCGUAGGCGGUCGGAUAAGUCAGAUGUGAAAUCACCGGGCUCAACCCGGUAAUUGCAUUUGAAACUGCCUAACUUGAGUUGGGUAGAGGAGGGCGGAAUUCCUGGUGUAGCGGUGAAAUGCGUAGAUAUCAGGAGGAACACCUGUGGCGAAGGCGGCUCUCUGGUCCGAUACUGACGCUGAGGCGCGAAAGCUAGGGUAGCAAACAGG